RNAcentral lists this long non-coding RNA (1120 nucleotides) under Populus trichocarpa (black cottonwood). RNAcentral's name for it is "long non-coding RNA (PTRI_LNC002820)". The record is from RNAcentral. Lineage: Eukaryota; Viridiplantae; Streptophyta; Magnoliopsida; Malpighiales; Salicaceae.
AUGAUUGGAAGUUUAAAUAUUUAAUUAAAUUCUUGACUAGUUUAAUUAAUCAAAUCAAGGGUUUAAUUGGAGAAUUGAUAAAUUUUGAGACUUAAUUGAGCUUGGAAUUAAUUUUAUUAAUCCAAUUAAGGGUUUAAUUGGAGAAUUGAUGAGUUUUCAGACUUAAUUAAGCUUGGAAUUAAUUUAAUUAAUUAAAUCAAGGGUUUAAUUGAAGAAUUGAUAAGUUUUAGACUUAUUUGAGCUUGGAAUUAAUUUAUCCAGGGGCUUAAUUACAAAACGUUUAAAACGUCAAGGGCCACAACGCAAAUAAUCAUUAAACAUCAAACGGCGCCGUCUGUGGAUGCGCUGUUCAUCUUCUUCAACGGACGCCCACCGCCACCAUAACACCUGCAAUCAAUGGUUGGAAGAAACGGAUUGUUCUCUGGCUAUAAAAGCCAGAGAACGAAAGGUCACAGGGAGACGGCAGGAAAGAAAAACUGGGGAAAAACUGGGGGAAAGGAACCAAGAGAGGACGAAAAAAAGACAGGGGGAGGAGAAACAAAAAAAAAAAAACAGUGAAGAAUAACGCAAGCAGAACCCAGAGGAAAAACCCAGAAAACAGGGGGGGAAAGAGACGAAAAAAAAUCACAGAACCGGGGAAAGAAAGAAGAAAACAGAGGAGAGAGAGAGCACGAACGAAAACAGAGAGGGGGCCUAAAAAUAGAGAAACGGGGAGAGAGCAAAACGACAGCUUUCCUGCUUUGCCUUUGCUCUCAAAACGCAAGGAAGUGCAGAGAAGCUGCAAGUGUUGGUCAGCCUAAUUAUUCCUGUCCAGCUACACGCUCCAAACCAAGGGGGAGGAACAAAAAAAACAAAGAACAGAGACGGAGAGAAACAGAACCAGGGGAAACAGAGAAACAAAGAACGAUCCGAAAGAAAGAAAACGAAAAAGGAAACAGAAGGUUAUUGUCCAGCCAGCGCGCCUUCGCCAUCACCAUCGUCUUCGUCCCUUUCGUUUCCUGCACUGAGGUAAGCCCCGCUUCCUUUGCAAUUUAAUUCACUGCUACAGUAGCAGUGAAUUAUAAUUCCCUUGCUACUGUAGCAAGUGAAUUAUAAUUAUGCACGCCUGCCACUCAGCCGG